Molecule: long non-coding RNA, 628 nt
Organism: Morus notabilis
Lineage: Eukaryota; Viridiplantae; Streptophyta; Magnoliopsida; Rosales; Moraceae
Exons: 3
Source: RefSeq, a predicted model, not a curated record
AAGCCAUUUUGGCCCAAUACUGCCUAAUAUGAUGACUUUCGCUUCCUGUUAACAACAAACAAACUCGUGCAACUUUUAGGGUUUUUCUCUCUCUCUCCUCGCAAUCUUCUAUUCCAGGAACUAGAGAAACCGAGGAUUGAGGGAUGUACUCCUCUCUUUCUUCUAUUCGCCAUGCUCGUCGAUCUUCGUCUCUAAUCGCUUUCCUCGCUCGCAUGGCGAUCUCACUGUUGCUUCGAGGUCUUUCUUUGCUUUUCCGGCGACAUAUGGUAGUGCAUGCUAUCAACCAUGACUCGGGCGGGAUCACGGCUUCCUAAGGCUGCACAACAUUUGCGUCAUAAUGAUAAUUUGCCUUUUGUGCGUCUGGAAGGAGAGGGAGGGAUGGCUUUGCAUGGGAGAAUUCUAUGAAUUAUUAUUAUUAUUUUUUCUCUAGUUUUACUUCUAGUCCUGAAUAUUACAAUGUUAACAUUGUCACUCAUGAAAGUCAUCUUCCUUUUAGCUUUGUAGCAUUUGGAGACCAAAAAUGUUUCAGUGUCAGCUUGUGACGACUGGUAGAGGAGUAAUGUUUCAUUAAAUAUAACUUUUUGUUUUGGUACUCAUGUCACUAAGACAAUUUAAUUGACUUUAAAUG